RNAcentral lists this ribosomal RNA (253 nucleotides) under uncultured bacterium. Its description in RNAcentral is "partial 16S ribosomal RNA". It matches the Rfam family "Bacterial small subunit ribosomal RNA", at positions 524 to 776 of the family's 1533-position model. The record is from RNAcentral.
UACAGAGGGUGCGAGCGUUGUUCGGAUUUACUGGGCGUAAAGGGCGCGCAGGCGGCUCAUUUUGUCAGGCGUGAAAGCCCCGGGCUUAACCUGGGAACUGCGUUUGAUACGGAUGGGCUAGAGUUCGGGAGAGGAGAGUGGAAUUCCAUGUGUAGCGGUGGAAUGCGUAGAUAUAUGGAGGAACACCAAUGGCGAAGGCAGCUUACUGGACAGUUAUUGACGCUGAGAUGCGAAAGCGUGGGGAGCAAACAGG